Molecule: long non-coding RNA, 91 nt
Organism: Empidonax traillii (willow flycatcher)
Lineage: Eukaryota; Metazoa; Chordata; Aves; Passeriformes; Tyrannidae
Exons: 3
Source: RefSeq, a predicted model, not a curated record
CAAGAGCCAAUGGGCAGAAAGUGAUGCACAGGAAGUUCCACCUGAACAUGAGGAAGAACUUCUUUACUGUGCAGGUGGCUGAGCUUUGGAA